AGCCAUGCAUGUUUCCGCAAUCAGGGACGAAUAGCUCAGUAAAACUGCGAUGAUUUAGUCUGGCUGUGUAGAUAACUACGUGAAAAUGUAGCUAAGGGAAGGCAGAAUAAGACGCAGGACUAUCAGUUAGUUGGUAGUGUAAUGGACUACCAAGACAGUGACGGUUGACGGGAAAUUAGGGUUUUGUACCGGAGAGGGAGCCUGAGAGAUUGCUCCCACGUCCAAGGACGGCAGCAGGCGCGAAAAUUGCCCACUCUUUGCAGGAGGCAGUUAUGAGACGUGAAGAUGAGUAUCUUGUAAAGAGGGAUAGGAGAAUUGGAGGGCAAGUUUGGUGCCAGCAGCCGCGGUAAUACCGACUCCAAGAGUGUGUAUGAGAGAUGCUGCAGUUAAAAAGUCCGUAGUCAUAGAAGGGCAAAGAGAGAUGCGAGGUCUCACAGUGCGAUGAUGGAGGAGCCGAUGGGGAACAUAGUAUACCAGGGCGAGAGAUGAAAUGCCAAGACCCCUGGUGGACUGAGCGAGGCGAA
This 524-nucleotide ribosomal RNA is filed under the name Vittaforma corneae. RNAcentral describes it as "SSU rRNA". It matches the Rfam family "Microsporidia small subunit ribosomal RNA", at positions 46 to 602 of the family's 1311-position model. The record is from RNAcentral. Lineage: Eukaryota; Fungi; Microsporidia; Nosematidae.